UCCAACCUCCCACCCGUGUUUAUUUUACCUUGUUGCUUCGGCGGGCCCGCCUUUACUGGCCGCCGGGGGGCUCACGCCCCCGGGCCCGCGCCCGCCGAAGACACCCCCGAACUCUGUCUGAAGAUUGAAGUCUGAGUGAAAAUAUAAAUUAUUUAAAACUUUCAACAACGGAUCUCUUGGUUCCGGCAUCGAUGAAGAACGCAGCGAAAUGCGAUACGUAAUGUGAAUUGCAAAUUCAGUGAAUCAUCGAGUCUUUGAACGCACAUUGCGCCCCCUGGUAUUCCGGGGGGCAUGCCUGUCCGAGCGUCAUUGCUGCCCUCAAGCCCGGCUUGUGUGUUGGGCCCCGUCCUCCGAUUCCGGGGGACGGGCCCGAAAGGCAGCGGCGGCACCGCGUCCGGUCCUCGAGCGUAUGGGGCUUUGUCACCCGCUCUGUAGGCCCGGCCGGCGCUUGCCGAUCAACCCAAAUUUUUAUCCAGGUUGACCUCGGAUCAGGUAGGGAUACCCGCUGAACUUAAGCAUAUCAAUAAGCGGGAGGA
This 536-nucleotide ribosomal RNA is filed under the name Penicillium polonicum. RNAcentral describes it as "eukaryotic LSU rRNA". The stretch from base 157 to 309 matches the Rfam family "5.8S ribosomal RNA". The record is from RNAcentral. Lineage: Eukaryota; Fungi; Ascomycota; Eurotiomycetes; Eurotiales; Aspergillaceae.